Danio rerio (zebrafish) is the source of this 46-nucleotide non-coding RNA. NCBI's taxonomy places the organism in Eukaryota, Metazoa, Chordata, Actinopteri, Cypriniformes, Danionidae. The record is from Rfam.
CCAAAGGCUCUUUUAAGAGCCACCCAUGUUCUCCUCUAAAGAGCUA